RNAcentral lists this long non-coding RNA (849 nucleotides) under Homo sapiens (human). RNAcentral describes it as "non-protein coding lnc-PDE9A-2:1". The record is from RNAcentral. Lineage: Eukaryota; Metazoa; Chordata; Mammalia; Primates; Hominidae.
GGGUGGGGAUAAAGGACUAAGAAUUGGAAGGACCCAGGACAUCUAACUAGAGAGUGCCCAAGGAGGUUCAGCAUAGCCCUGCCAGCAAAGAUUAUUUAUUUACUUUAAGAGGGAGUUAAGAGUGGUGAUUUAGGGAUAGCACCAGUAGAUAUCAGCUGUGAUGGCUUGGAGAAACAGUGUAAACCAGCAGUGUAAACAAGAGCAGGGCAUUUAUGAGUAGUUGAGAACGGCGAAUAGGAGUAUGAUUAGACAGAAGAUAGUAGGGAUGACAAGUUUUGUUUUUUUUGCGGGGGGGAGGGCGCCGCAGUCCAACUUGGUCUGGUGUCUGGAAUGAGACUGGGGCCUAAUAAAAAGGAGCGUCUAUACAGGAGCUCAAAUGGGCUGUACCUUGUGGCAUUCUGAGGACAGGCCUGAAUUCUGAGGUCAAGUGGUAAAAGUAUUGUCCAGUCCUUUUUAAGUUGGUGGCUGAGCUUGGUGAGGUGUGUUUUUAAAAGACCAUUAGUUCACUGAAUAAGAGCUUGAGAAACUGCUUGGCUGAUUUGACUAAUAAAGGCUGGUCCGUUAUAGGACUGUAUAGAGGUGGGAAGGCCAAACCGAGGAAUUAUGUCUGACAGAAGGGAAGAAAUGACCGUGGUGGUCUUCUUAGACCCUGUGGGAAAGGCCUCUACCUAUCCAGUGAAAGUGUCUACCCAGAACAAGAGGCAUUUUAGUUUCCUGACUCGGGGUAUGUUGAGUAAAGCCAAUUUGCCAGCCCUGGGCGGGGGCAAAUCCUCACGCUUGAUGUGUAGGGAAAGGAGGGGGCCUGAAUAAUCCCUGAGGAAUAGUAGGAUAUCAGAUGGAACACUGAGA